This 94-nucleotide ribosomal RNA is filed under the name Massilia sp. Root418. Its description in RNAcentral is "partial 16S ribosomal RNA". It matches the Rfam family "Bacterial small subunit ribosomal RNA", at positions 1 to 86 of the family's 1533-position model. Lineage: Bacteria; Pseudomonadati; Pseudomonadota; Betaproteobacteria; Burkholderiales; Oxalobacteraceae. The record is from RNAcentral.
AGAGAUUGAACUGAAGAGUUUGAUCCUGGCUCAGAUUGAACGCUGGCGGCAUGCUUUACACAUGCAAGUCGAACGGUAACAGGGAGCUUGCUCC